GAGUGACAUGACAAGAUUUGUGCUUUAGAAAGGCUGCUGGCUGCACCUUGGGGGUUUUGAGUGGAAAAGGGAAGCUGGAGGCCAAGAGAUCAGACAGUAGGCUGUGCACUAAUCAAGAGAAGUAGGAGGCCUUGAACCAGCUUAAGAGAGGCAUCCUAGAAGUGGAGACAUCUAAGCUGAGUCUUGAAAGAUGAGUAGGAACACACCAGGUGGAGGAGCUGGGAAGCAUGUCCAGGGAGAAGAAACUGCACAGAUAAAGGCUCAGCACACAGAAAGUUCCUGGCAGGCUUGGGGAAUUUCCACUAGUCCAGCAGGCCUGCAGUGUGGCCUGAGAGAGUCACGACUGGCUGGGAAGACAAGAUUUGGACAUGAAAAGAUGAGAGAUCUACACUGUGACCUGAAUUGGGCAAUGCUCAGUUACACAGUAGAGGAGGGCUCCUGAUUAUAAUGCUAUACUGCUUGGCGGUAAAAGGAAGUCUCUGGACAAGAUGACCUCUGAAGGCCUUUCCAGCUCAACUAUUCUUUGAUUUGCUGUCCCAUUUCUAGCUAUAUGAUGAAUAAACCAGCUUAUCCUCGAGAAGAAAGAAAUAAGGACUGUCUUUAGCCGUCUGAAAAGCUGUCAUAUUGGGCCCCUCCCAGCUCCUCCCAGCCAUUCGGAGCAGUAAGUGAAGAUGUCAGCACCUUGGACAGAGCCCAACGCAUUACAGUACUCGAAGCCAGCGGAAGCCAAGCUCUCCAACUCCUUUAGCCUCGGGGUGAUGGAUUUCCUCGUUUCUCAAUUUGAUUAAAGCCCAGUAGAUAACCAG
This 806-nucleotide long non-coding RNA is filed under the name Equus asinus (donkey). Its description in RNAcentral is "lncRNA (ENSEASG00005036667.1)". Lineage: Eukaryota; Metazoa; Chordata; Mammalia; Perissodactyla; Equidae. The record is from RNAcentral.